This is a non-coding RNA of Oryctolagus cuniculus (rabbit), 1363 nucleotides long. The record is from RefSeq and is a predicted model, not a curated record. NCBI's taxonomy places the organism in Eukaryota, Metazoa, Chordata, Mammalia, Lagomorpha, Leporidae.
UGGAAGCCUCUUGAGUUCACCAAUUCCUAUCUUAUUUAGACAAGGCCAUAAUCAAAGUGGAACUUCUUGCCUCCCUUCAGAGAAAGGUCGCAGUUUCUUCAAAGUUACUGAUGCUUUUUGGCAUAUGAUGGCCUCUCCAUACUGAAUGAUUAGCUAUUUACUUCGUUGCAAGACCAGGAUGCUUAUUGGGAACAGAAGAAAAAGAAUGACAAAGCACUGAAAUAUCUUACCUUAAAAAAAAAAAAAAGGUUCUCAUGUCCUACAAGAACAGGGAGCUGAUGUGCUGAUGUAUAGUUUAGGAGCAGCCACAGCAAGAUACUUGGUUGACUGUGGAGAACAAAAUUACUAACAACAAAGUCAUUAAAUGAACACACAAAGAUAAAUUAUACAGCCUAGAUUACAUCCAAUAAUAUGAAUUCAGACUUCCUUUGGUGAGACAAUUGGUUCGGUCAACAUGCUUUUUUUCUGCUUUGUACUGUUUGUAUUUAGUGUUUGUGGUUUGAAUCAAGGGAUUGAUUUUCCCCCAAAUCUUAUUCAAGGUCAAAUUAAACAGAUGUGAUAGGAGUUGAAGUUUGUUACUGGGAGGAUAGAUAUGAUCAAUAACAUUGAUUUUACCAUUGCACAGUAAUCUAUUUUAUUAAGAGGAGUUUAAAACAAGGUUUCUAUUUGCAUUUGUGUUUCAAAUGCCUGGUAUUGGAAUGCAUUUACUGAAUUUAACCUAGCAUUUAGGAAGAAGGGCAGUAGCAUUUUCUUUCGAAUUCAUAGUAUUUGCUUAAUUUUCCAGAAUUUUAAGGAGUAAACAAAUCCAUUUGAUUCAGCAAGUUUACUGAUGUAUUCAGGUCAUUGAAUAAAGACUGCAAGGGCAAAGUGAAUUUUCACUGUAUUAUUUUAGUGGUCUAACAGGGGGCUUCAGGGUACCUUUCCUGUUGAAUGAUUUAAUGGCAUUAAUCCAACAGGCUCUUUCACACACAGGCUUGUGCACAUUCAUAUCCAUUACUGAACAAAAAUGUUGUGUGAUGAAAAGGUCAGCAGCAACGCUGGAAAGGUGAUUAACUGUUGACUGAGGCUGCAGCGAGCUUAGUGCCAAACAGCACAACCAGCCGUAGCGAGGGCCACAGCAGGCUGGUCCUGCAGCUCCGUAGCCACUCUCUCUCCCUCUGUUCUUGUUUCAGCAAUACCCAGAAUCUGGAAGGACUCAGGACUUCUGCUCCUGCUCUCACCACCACUGAAUGUUAAUACACAAUGCAUGAAUUUCCCAAGAGAGAAAAGCAAGAUUUUUUAAGCCAGAAACCUCCUGCUGAAGCAGCCUAGAGGGGGGUUCCAAGAGAGGCAAACCUGAUUUCUAACAUUUAUUGAAUGCUCA